CCUACGGGAGGCAGCAGUCGAGAAUAAUUCACAAUGGGGGAAACCCUGAUGGUGCAACGCCGCGUGGAGGAUGAAGGUCUUCGGAUUGUAAACUCCUGUCAUCGGGGAGUAAGACCUGGGCGUGAAUAGCGCACAGGGUUGAUAGUACCCGAAGAGGAAGGGACGGCUAACUUCGUGCCAGCAGCCGCGGUAAU
RNAcentral lists this ribosomal RNA (194 nucleotides) under uncultured bacterium. RNAcentral's name for it is "partial 16S ribosomal RNA". It matches the Rfam family "Bacterial small subunit ribosomal RNA", at positions 338 to 524 of the family's 1533-position model. The record is from RNAcentral.